UGACCUCAAAUCAGGUAGGACUACCCGCUGAACUUAAGCAUAUCAAAUGGGGA
RNAcentral lists this ribosomal RNA (53 nucleotides) under Collybia nuda. RNAcentral's name for it is "Lepista nuda partial 28S ribosomal RNA". Lineage: Eukaryota; Fungi; Basidiomycota; Agaricomycetes; Agaricales; Clitocybaceae. The record is from RNAcentral.